AGAGGGAGAAGAAGCAGGCUUCCUGCCGAGCAGGGAGCCUGAUGCGGGGCUUGAUCCCAGGACCCUGGGAUCAUGACCUGAGCCGAAGGCAGUCACUUAACCACUGAGCCACCCAGGCGCCCCUUGGCAUGAGUUCUUAAGGGAUGGUUUAUAUGACCACGUAGAGCUAUGUUAUGUGAGUGCUUCCCAAUCUCUGUUCUCAAUGAUCAGAUUCAUUUUUUCCCCUAAGAGCCACAUGCUUUGAAAGAUUUUUAUCUACUGAAUAAAUCACACUUAUAAAGAAAUCAUAUUAAGUAUUUACUAGUACCAGGUAUUGUAUAAAUGAGUGCUUUACACCCAUUAUCUAAAAUCCUCAAGGAGUCUGAAAAAUAUAAAUUAUUACUCCCAUUUUACAAAUAAGUAAACUGAGGUUCAGAGAUCUUAAGGACAUAGCCUAAGUCUUAUUGCGAGAAAUUAAAUUCUGGCCUCACCUCUACACCCACAUUCUUUCCAGUACAGUCUGUCUACCCUAUAGACAACACAUGCAAGCAACCAGAACUUCUUAGUAUGAAGAUACAUUCUUCACCGUGAGUUAGUAUGGCAUAACUUCCCCAGCUCCCCCCAACCCCAAAAGGAAAGAAGCUUUCCAUUAUUUAGUUAACCUAUUCAAGCUUUACUGAGUAAACAUACAAUGUCUUUCAGGCUUUUCUGAAGUACUGGACAUAGUUCAAGUAAUUCCAUUACUAUCCUUGUAGAACUGUGAGAUCCUACAGAACCCAGACGGGAAACUGGAACUGGCAGUUCAAACAAAUGGAAAUUGGACAGAAGGAGUUCAGAACACAGAUCCAGGCACAGACCUCCUUCUCUGGAAUUCUCUUUCUCUAGGAUUCUCCCACUCCUUCGAUUCUAUCAAGUAUUCAGUGAUGUACCACAGUCUGAUGUGAGGGAGGAGUGGAUCCUGAAAACAGAGAAAAUUGCUCUUGAGGCCAGAAACGGAGUUGUGAAUCCAUAGCCUUCUGUGCUUUGACAAAUGUGUAAAUUCUGUAGUGACAUUGACCUGCUCUUUGGCAAAUCUCGGAACAUGAACUCAAUAGGAAUUCAUUGACAUCAGGUCGCUGGGAAAUAGAGGAUGUUAAUGCCUAGAGCAACCUCAUAAGCCACAUGUUGAAGAUGGCAGAAUUACAAGAUGGAAGGGCCUGGUUCCUUGAAUGACCACUUGGAAGAGAGGCACCCACCAUGAACACCCAUUUUGGAUGUUUUAUGAGUGAGAAAUAAAUUUCUUAUCAUGUCUCAGGUUUGAUAUACAGAUUUCAUACUACAGUUAGUAUUGCCUUAAUUAACAUAGACCACAAGCUCAAAGUCCCUCUGGUCCAAUGACUGGCAUAUGGCAAGUGCUCAAUAAACGUAUUUGGAUAAAUGAGUGAAUACUCAAACACCUCUGGAGAUAAAGAAUUAAUCCACUGCCCUAUCAGUUUAAUACAUUUCAAUCAGCUAGAAUUAUUGGAAAAUUACUUAUAUGGAGCUAAAAUCCAUUAUCUUUAACUUGUACUCAUUUGUGACUGCCCUUCCCAGUCACUCAAAAUAAUUCUGAACCCUCUUCAAGGCAGCCCUUCAAUUAUUUAAUAAUACUUACUCUUAUUCCCUCCAUGACAAACCUCUGGUUUCCAAGCUAAAUAGUCUAAUGUUUUUCAUUGUUCUUAUUAUGUUAUAGUUACUAAAACUCUUAUCACCAUCUUUACCCUCCUCUGGGCAUUUUGGUCGGGUUUGUCAUUGUUCCCCAUUCAAUGGGUAUUCAGAACAGAACAUCAUACUCUUGGCAACACUGACCAGCAUGGGAGGGUACCAGUUGCCCCUCCCAGUCAGGACUUCAUACUUCAAUUAAUGCAGCUUAAUAUUUUAACAGUCUUAGAGGUGGUCAUAUCACCUGUUGACUCAUUUUGAGCUUGUGGUCAAACUUCCUACCUCUUCUCUCUCCUCUCCUCUGCCUCCCAUAUAUACCACGAUUUAUUAUAUGACCUUAGACAAAUCACUUCACCUCUCUAGGACUAAUUUCUCAUGUGAAAAAUGAGGUGAUUGAACCAGAUGACUUCUGAGUUGUUUCCCCCUGCCCCAUUCUAAUAUUCUUUGAGUCAAAAUAAGAAGUUCUAAGAGAGCUCACAUUGUACUUUUAUGUAGAAUCCUUCACCCAUAGCAGUAUGAGAGUAUAAACUGCCUGGAAACAUUAAACUCAUUGAACAACAUGAAACUGGACAGGUAAUUUUCCUCAGCUUACAUUCACAGAUAUGUGUAUAGUGUGUGGUAAGUUGUAUAUAUACAGGAAGGCCAACUGACUAUGCUAAAAUGUAGUGGUCAAGGAGGGAAAAAAUAAGGCACAGGCAAAAAAUAAAAAUAAUAAAAUUAAAAAACAGUGAGGUCAUGGGGGGAAUCAGGGUGUGGUUUUCUUUGAAGGAACACUCCAUCACUUUUUUAAUCCAAGGGAGAAUAGCCAUGAAAAAGAGGAUAUAUAUCUCACUCAGCAGAAAGCCUUGUUUGAUGUGUUGUCAAUUUCCUCAUCUCAUUUCACACACCAUCCAAACAUGCCAAAAACAAAACAAAACAAAACAAAAAAAACCCCACACUCAACCAAUGGGCAAAUAAAUGCAUUUGCUAUGGGGGAAAUCAAACCACGUCUCAAUAACCCUUGCCCUUGGUAAAUUUCUUAUAAAGCAGACAUCUCCCAUGAUUUUAGCUGAUUAAUUUUUCCUGGUAUUUCUGCAUGCCUGUCCUCCUUCCAUCCACAGCUGAGAGGCUGGAUCCACUUUCCACCCUAGACUGAGAUUCUAGGCAUUAUUAUUUGACCUCUUUUGAAAAACUCAUGCAAGCUUUAUAACCCGAUCUGGGCACACCCCCCAUUGGGGCCUGCAUUUCCUGUGGAUGAUGCUUUGGUUUCCUAGGUGACAGUGGGAAGGAAUAGACCUGUUAGCUUGUGGCUUCUGACUCACUCUCUGCAAUGGACGUCACAGAAUCGUGGCUGAACAAGUGGAUGCUGAUAAAAACAUGUGCUUCGGGGAGCAGCAGGGCACUAAUGGUUAAGACCAUCCCAUUGUACCAGGUUUCCCUCCCACUAAGGAGGCCAACAGACAGACAGAAAUACCAGAUCUGAAAAAAACAAGCAACAGAUUUGAAACCUUCUCUGAACUCCCAUAUUGAAGUGCACAGUGGAGUCCUAUUUACCACCCCAUUAUUUUAUUCCUUUCCCUGUUUAGAAUUUCCUUUUUUUUUUCCCCUGGAAUGUGGAAGUACCGCGAUUCUCUAAUGAAAUGUCAGAUGGAGGCUGAAGAAUGGGAGGUGGAGACAAGCCAAAAACUCACCAAAAAGCUUGUUUACUGAAAGCUUGUUACCGCUCUUUUUGAUCUUUCACAUUUGCUCCCUGAGAGGGGACAGGUAACCACAGUGGACUAACCAAUUAUCAAAGCCCAGGAUGAAAAAUACAUUCUGUUGUGAAAUUAAUCUUCAGAAAAGGUGGGUUUUGGGGUGCCUGGGUGGCUCAGUCAAUUAAGCAUCUGUCUUCAGCUCAGGUCAUGGUCCCAGAGUCAUGGGAUGGAGCCCUGCGUCAGACUCCCUGCUCAGUGGGGAGUCUGCUUCUCCCUCUCCCCCUGCUCUUGUGCUCUUCUCUCUCUCUCUCUCUCUCUCACUUGCUCACUCUCUCUCUCAAAUAAAUAAAAUCUUAAAAGAAAAGAAAAGCUGGGUUUCAUGAAGCCUAGGGACAAGGACCAUACACACACACACACACAGGUGGGGGUGGGGAGAGGGGGAGAGAGAGAGAGAGAGAGAGAGAUUAACUUUCUAGUUACCUCUUUUUCUAUCAGCUGAACCCAGCAACAUACAAGUCAGGGAAGACUGCCUGGAAUGAAAAAACACGGAAGAGUUCUUUUGUCCCUUACAUCUGAACUACUAAAGACUGAAUGGAUUCUUUAGAUUCUUGAAUUCCUUAAAUGACCAACAAACCUAAAGGUUCUCUACUGGAGAUAAUGCAUCUUGUUUUCCACAGAGCCUUAAGGGAUGCUUUAAAUAGCAUCAGCAAGCAUCCGAAUGAAUUAGACAGCAAAUGUAGGUUAGCUUUAUUUAGACAGAUAAAGACAAGCAGAGAAAGUUGUCUGGUUCAAGGGCAGUGCAGCCUGACAUGACAGCAUUUCUCAGAGGAGGGGAAAUUGCUUUGGGAGAGAGAGGUAUUUUGGGAAAAGAGCAAAGUUCCUUGGAUCACCAAGGGAAGAAGCAAUGCUAAGUUCUUCAGUACAGAGGAGCAGGAAUUAAGAGUGGCCUGCCACUUGUUAAAGGAAAGAUCUAUAGAUUUAAAAUGUAAAGCAGAACUUAGCAUCCUUAAGUUCAUACGUGCAUCCCUCUCUUCUCUCUCCCAUUCCUUGGGAACACCAUCAGAAAGGACAUGCUUCCCAGAACAGGAGCUGAGGUAGGGGAUUUUUCAUACU
Molecule: long non-coding RNA, 4445 nt
Organism: Mirounga angustirostris (Northern elephant seal)
Lineage: Eukaryota; Metazoa; Chordata; Mammalia; Carnivora; Phocidae
Exons: 3
Source: RefSeq, a predicted model, not a curated record